UACGGAGGGGGCUAGCGUUGUUCGGAAUUACUGGGCGUAAAGCGCGCGUAGGCGGACCAGAAAGUCAGGGGUGAAAUCCCGGGGCUCAACCCCGGAACUGCCCUUGAAACUCCUGGUCUUGAGUUCGAGAGAGGUGAGUGGAAUUCCGAGUGUAGAGGUGAAAUUCGUAGAUAUUCGGAGGAACACCAGUGGCGAAGGCGGCUCACUGGCUCGAUACUGACGCUGAGGUGCGAAAGUGUGGGGAGCAAACAGGAUUAGAUACCCCUGUAGUCCCUGAGCGGG
Molecule: ribosomal RNA, 282 nt
Filed under: uncultured prokaryote
Description: partial 16S ribosomal RNA
Rfam family: Bacterial small subunit ribosomal RNA
Source: RNAcentral